GAUGAACGCUAGCGGCAGGCUUAACACAUGCAAGUCGAGGGGUAUAGUUCUUCGGAACUAGAGACCGGCGCACGGGUGCGUAACGCGUAUGUAAUCUACCUUUUACAGGGGGAUAGCCCAGAGAAAUUUGGAUUAAUACCCCAUAGUAUGUUGUGGUGGCAUCACUAUUACAUUAAAGUUCCAACGGUAAAAGAUGAGCAUGCGUCCCAUUAGCUAGAUGGUAAGGUAACGGCUUACCAUGGCUACGAUGGGUAGGGGUCCUGAGAGGGAGAUCCCCGACACUGGUACUGAGACACGGACCAGACUCCUACGGGAGGCAGCAGUGAGGAAUAUUGGACAAUGGGCGCAAGCCUGAUCCAGCCAUGCCGCGUGCAGGAUGACGGUCCUAUGGAUUGUAAACUGCUUUUGUACAGGAAGAAACACUCCCUCGUGAGGGAGCUUGACGGUACUGUAAGAAUAAGGAUUGGCUAACUCCGUGCCAGCCGCCGCGGUAA
RNAcentral lists this ribosomal RNA (494 nucleotides) under uncultured bacterium. RNAcentral's name for it is "partial 16S ribosomal RNA". It matches the Rfam family "Bacterial small subunit ribosomal RNA", at positions 28 to 523 of the family's 1533-position model. The record is from RNAcentral.